Molecule: long non-coding RNA, 736 nt
Organism: Fopius arisanus
Lineage: Eukaryota; Metazoa; Arthropoda; Insecta; Hymenoptera; Braconidae
Exons: 2
Source: RefSeq, a predicted model, not a curated record
AAAGGUGCCCCACGUUGGGUGCCAAUUGAGACAAAAUCUGUUUUUCCCUUGACUUAUCUCUAAUAUAUUAAAGGAGAGUCUAGGGAUAUCGCAUGCAAAUUUUGCGAUUGUGAUUUAUCGAUUCAAGUCAUCAAUCGAUUGUUUCAUCUCUCGAUGAGUAUUUAUCAUGCGAGAGAAUCGUAGAGGCAAUAUUGCCUUGUCAUUGUCAUCAAUCAAUUGAUUGAAAAUUCUAUCAUCAUUGAAUUUAAAUUUACAAAUAAAUAAAUAUCAAUACGUGUGUGUUGUUUAAUAAUUGAAUUAUUAAUUAAAUAUAGUGCAGUGUGUGUUUAAAUAUUAUUACGGAACUGACAGGAGGGAACUAUUAACACAAACCAUUUCUGCUGUAGGUGUUAUGUUGAUUUCAAUUAAUUAUGAUAUGAAAAACUAUCACAAGAUUGUGCAGUGUUAAAAUUUAACGAACAUUGAAACUACGGACAAGUGAUUCUCAUGGGAAAAAAGUGUAUGAAUAUGUGAAAUACUUUGUACUUAUGCGCAUAUGUGAACAUUUUUAUAUCAAAGCGAACCAAUGUGUUAUUAUUAAGAGCUAUGUGAACAUUUUCAUAUGAAAGCGAACAAAUGUGUUAAUAUCGAGAGAUGUGUCCAAAUAUUUAUACUAACGCCAAAAAAUGUGCUACCAAUAAGAAAGUGUAAAUCAAUAAAUUAUGAGAAGUUAAUGAAAAUAUUACCGUUAAUCAGA